RNAcentral lists this long non-coding RNA (1082 nucleotides) under Phoenix dactylifera (date palm). Its description in RNAcentral is "long non-coding RNA (PDAC_LNC005945)". The record is from RNAcentral. Lineage: Eukaryota; Viridiplantae; Streptophyta; Magnoliopsida; Arecales; Arecaceae.
UGUUGACAAGUAUCCUGCAUUUUCCUAUAUUAUAUAUUUUAACAAUUUUUGAUAAAAUUAAAUGAUUCAUGAUCAUUUUUUACUAAUAUUAUAACUAAAGGAUUGCAUAGAGUGUUGAUACAUGUGAUUUAUCAAGACUAUUUCAUAAAAAAUUAUCAAUAACUAUACAUAUUUUCUUAUACUAAUUCUAUUUUAUGUUUUUUCAAUUUUUAAAUAUUUUUAGUGCAAACUUGGUUUGACUGAUUGACCCAGUGGUCAGACCAAUGACCCGAUGACCUGGACCCUUCGCCAAGUCGGUCUCUAGUCUGGAUUUAAUAACUAUGCUAAAUAUAAGACCUUUCGUACUCGACCCUUCAGAUAUGGAAAUGUUUGGAUAUAAUAACAUUUAUGAGUUAUUACUAUAUAAAAAACUUCCUACCAUUUUAAAGUUGUUACUUUGAAACAACAUCAAAUUUUAAAGCUAUUUAUGGAAUUUGUUCAUGAGUUAAAGCUGGCCUUCUAAUUUCAAUGAAUUUUGAGUUUGAUUUUUUUUAUUGACUCAAAUAAGGGUUAGUUUCUUAUAUGCAUGCAAUAUCUUAAGCAAAUGAAGAUCGAAAUGAUAUUUAUAUAAAAAAAUUCGAUUUCAGUCAGUUGCUUGCUAGGUCAUAAGUUGUUUGGCUAUUGAGUCAUACUUUUACUAAAUCCCACCUACCUCCAUAAUCUUCAGAUUAGUCAAAAAAGGGGGGGAGGGAUGCAGGGGGCAUGCUGAGCCACACCAAAUCAGGGUAGUUUGACAGAAUUCAAUGCCAAGCAGUUUGCAGUGCCCCACCACCUCUAUGACUCAUAACUUAUAGGCUUGUCAUGGUAUGUGCAAAGUGGCAUGGUCAACAUUCAAGCCCUACACAAAACUACUCAUUUUAUGUUAGGAUAGCACAUCUCUAAAGCCACAGUUCAUAAAAGUACAAUGACAGUGACUCUUCAAAUAAAACAUUACCAGAAGGAUGCCUUUAAAGAUGCUAAUGAUGAGAACAUAUCAAUCAAAUGGUUCCAAUCCUUUGGAGAGUGGAUUUCACAUAGCAAAAACCUCAAAAGUCAAAACUACC